This 253-nucleotide ribosomal RNA is filed under the name uncultured bacterium. RNAcentral describes it as "partial 16S ribosomal RNA". It matches the Rfam family "Bacterial small subunit ribosomal RNA", at positions 524 to 776 of the family's 1533-position model. The record is from RNAcentral.
UACGAAGGGGGCUAGCGUUGCUCGGAAUCACUGGGCGUAAAGCGCACGUAGGCGGAUCGUUAAGUUGGGGGUGAAAUCCUGGAGCUCAACUCCAGAACUGCCUUCAAUACUGGCGAUCUAGAGUCCGGAAGAGGUGAGUGGAACUCCUAGUGUAGAGGUGGAAUUCGUAGAUAUUAGGAAGAACACCAGUGGCGAAGGCGGCUCACUGGUCCGGUACGGACGCUGAGGUGCGAAAGCGUGGGGAGCAAACAGG